Molecule: long non-coding RNA, 150 nt
Organism: Lampris incognitus (smalleye Pacific opah)
Lineage: Eukaryota; Metazoa; Chordata; Actinopteri; Lampriformes; Lampridae
Exons: 3
Source: RefSeq, a predicted model, not a curated record
ACUCUACUGAACAGAGUAGGAUCCAUCAGGAGAGACCAGACUCCCCUGUACCCAGCUGUGUGUCCAUCAAGAGUGACCAGUCUAUGAAUAUACCUAUUUUUUUCAAAGAUGGACACCACUCUACUAAACAGAGCAGGAUCCAUCAGGAGA